Molecule: ribosomal RNA, 1014 nt
Filed under: Triticum aestivum (bread wheat)
Lineage: Eukaryota; Viridiplantae; Streptophyta; Magnoliopsida; Poales; Poaceae
Description: partial small subunit ribosomal RNA
Source: RNAcentral
AUGCUCCCCACGAAGCCCCAGCUAUCUUCCUCUCUGCUCGCAUCCACGCCGCUCUUUAACCCCGCAUCCAAUCCCAACCACGCCAAGCCAAUCGCCGCCUCCCCCUCCCCCCGCCGCCGCCUCCGCAUCUCCGCCGCAUCCACGGCGGUUUCGCCGGGGGCGACGGCGCUCAGCCGCGUCGACGUGCUCUCGGAGGCGCUCCCCUUCAUCCAGCGCUUCAAGGGCAAGACGGUGGUGGUCAAGUACGGCGGCGCCGCGAUGAAGUCCCCCGAGCUGCAGUCCUCCGUGAUCCGCGACCUCGUCCUCCUCUCCUGCGUCGGCCUCCGCCCCAUCCUCGUCCACGGCGGCGGGCCAGAGAUCAACUCCUGGCUGCUCCGCGUCGGCGUCGAGCCGCAGUUCCGCAACGGCCUCCGCGUCACCGACGCGCUCACCAUGGAGGUCGUCGAGAUGGUGCUCGUUGGCAAGGUCAACAAGAAUCUCGUCUCCCUCAUCAACCUCGCCGGAGGCACCGCCGUCGGCCUCUGCGGCAAGGACGCGCGCCUCAUCACCGCGCGCCCCUCCCCCAACGCCGCAGCCCUUGGCUUCGUUGGCGAAGUCGCGCGGGUGGACGCCACUGUCCUCCACCCCAUCAUCGCCUCUGGUCACAUCCCGGUCAUUGCCACCGUUGCUGCCGACGAGACAGGGCAGGCCUACAACAUCAACGCGGAUACGGCGGCAGGUGAGAUUGCCGCUGCGGUGGGCGCCGAGAAAUUGCUACUGCUCACAGAUGUGUCUGGGAUACUGGCGGACCGUAAUGACCCUGGCAGCCUGGUGAAGGAGAUUGACAUCGCUGGGGUGCGGCAGAUGGUAUCCGGUGGGCAGGUUGCUGGUGGAAUGAUCCCAAAGGUGGAGUGCUGCGUGAGAGCCCUCGCCCAGGGUGUGCACACUGCAAGCAUCAUCGAUGGGCGUGUCCCGCACUCGCUGUUGCUCGAGAUUCUCACAGAUGAGGGCACUGGCACAAUGAUCACCGGCUAA